GAUGAACGCUGGCGGCGUGCCUAAUACAUGCAAGUCGAGCGAACGGACGAGAAGCUUGCUUCUCUGAUGUUAGCGGCGGACGGGUGAGUAACACGUGGAUAACCUACCUAUAAGACUGGGAUAACUUCGGGAAACCGGAGCUAAUACCGGAUAAUAUUUUGAACCGCAUGGUUCAAAAGUGAAAGACGGUCCUGCUGUCACUUAUAGAUGGAUCCGGGCUGCAUUAGCUAGUUGGUAAGGUAACGGCUUACCAAGGCAACGAUGCAUAGCCGACCUGAGAGGGUGAUCGGCCACACUGGAACUGGGACACGGUCCAGACUCCUACGGGAGGCAGCAGUAGGGAAUCUUCCGCAAUGGGCGAAAGCCUGACGGAACAACGCCGCGUGAGUGAUGAAGGUCUUCGGAUCGUAAAACUCUGUUAUUAGGGAAGAACAUAUGUGUAAGUAACUGUGCACAUCUUGACGGUACCUAAUCAGAAAGCCACGGCUAACUACGUG
RNAcentral lists this ribosomal RNA (497 nucleotides) under uncultured bacterium. Its description in RNAcentral is "partial 16S ribosomal RNA". It matches the Rfam family "Bacterial small subunit ribosomal RNA", at positions 28 to 507 of the family's 1533-position model. The record is from RNAcentral.